AUGAUAAAUAGACCAUAUAAUAAGUAGGGGCUAACCCGUCCCUAGUAGCGAUCGACAAAGAGGAAAAAGGGUUAGCCCUUUGUCGUUGGUUAUCGUCGUACAGGAGAGGAGUCUCCUGGGCCGAUCGAGCCACUAUUCCAUAGGGCUCGAUGAAAAUCAUCGGGGAAACGGUGACGCGUGUCGGCAUGCGAAAUGAUUUCGGUGUUGACGAAAACGUCUCUACGCACGUACGCCCUAUACGUACGUAUACGUACGUAUUCGUGCGCCUACGUGGGUUCAACGUCGCACUCGGUCGCCGAAGAGCGUGAGUGUACCGAGAUCGGCCGCUAUAUUUACCUUAGGAAAAGUCGCCUUGCCAAGUCGAGUAAGGUGUCGCGAGUGUAUAGUGAUAGCUGCUGCACCGGCUGCCGGAUAAAUCCAGUUCGACGCUAGAACGAAGACGAAACGACGUAAACAUAGUCGGGACAAGUACCGAAAAGCUAUCCUCACAUCCGUCCGAUGACCGACAUAACACGAUAUAAGGUAUCCAUCGAUGGCCGAUCCGUUGGUAUAAAUUUUCGCUUAAGCGGACGGACGCACACGUUCCUUGAAGAGUUAGGCGGCCUCGGAGUAACGCAACUCUUCUCUUUGAAGUUACUUACUUCCCGACGGCAUAUCCCACGGGGCGCAUCACGGGUUUCUCUUCGUGUGAACGAGCCUUAACGUAUUCGUUGGUCCGUCACAAGCAGUGGAGGGGAAAAAGAGUAAAGAUAGCAUCGCGGGUAUAUCUCUCGAGCUAGUCUCGCGGUGCUAAGAGAGUUAGGUCGGUUAUUUCCGUCAUCUCUUGAGGGGUUCACGACCUGGAGGCCGAAGGCUCCUGCAUGACGUAACUCGUCGCGUCGCGUCGGCACGCACUGACCGACGCAAAACGCGCACAGAAAAAAUUCGAGACCGAGUUUGACAUCGGAGUCUUCGCUGUCUACAGAGAGAGAGAGAGAGAGAGAGACUACAUUUUCGACGAGAGGACGAAACUCGUCGGAAUAAUGGACCGAGAGGUCGUUAGAAAAAUGGAGUAACCCUGACGCCUACCAGGAAAAGGAGAAAAGAAAAAGUGUUUGGAUUUAAUAGAACGUUUUAUCUUUGCCACCCUAUCUAUGUUCGCUUUGCCAAUCGGAUCGGAUGAGAUAUUCAGCACCACCGAUGCCAAAGCUUUUUUAUUUCAUACACGUUAUUGUAACCGACAAGGAAAUCUACGAUCUAAGAGCGAGAGCGGAAGAGAGGAAGUGAGAGAGAAAGUUUCCUUCGAGAAGCGCGGGAACGCACGGACGAGUCAGACGAGUUUUGACAUCCCUUUUAUGGCGAUCGGAGUGGCAUCGUACGAAUUCUCCCUCGAACUCGUCGUCGUCGUCGUCGUCGUCGUCGUCGUCGCCGACGUCGACCUAAACUUUAUUAGGCAGUAGGUAAAGCCCUCUUGAUCGUUCUGAGUC
Long non-coding RNA from Vespa velutina, 1466 nucleotides. RefSeq lists it as uncharacterized. The record is from RefSeq and is a predicted model, not a curated record. The transcript has 3 exons. NCBI's taxonomy places the organism in Eukaryota, Metazoa, Arthropoda, Insecta, Hymenoptera, Vespidae.